RNAcentral lists this ribosomal RNA (253 nucleotides) under uncultured bacterium. RNAcentral describes it as "partial 16S ribosomal RNA". It matches the Rfam family "Bacterial small subunit ribosomal RNA", at positions 524 to 776 of the family's 1533-position model. The record is from RNAcentral.
GACGAACCAUGCAAACGUUAUUCGGAAUCACUGGGCUUAAAGCGUGCGUAGGCGGCUCAGAAAGUUGGGUGUGAAAUCCCUCGGCCUAACCGAGGAAUUGCGCCCAAAACUACUGGGCUCGAGGGAGUUAGAGGUGAGCGGAACUCACGGUGGAGCGGUGAAAUGCGUUGAUAUCGUGAGGAACACCGGAGGCGAAAGCGACUCACUGGGGCUUUUCUGACGCUGAGGCACGAAAGCUAGGGGAGCAAACGGG